Molecule: long non-coding RNA, 1388 nt
Organism: Pogoniulus pusillus (Red-fronted tinkerbird)
Lineage: Eukaryota; Metazoa; Chordata; Aves; Piciformes; Lybiidae
Exons: 4
Source: RefSeq, a predicted model, not a curated record
GCCGGGCUGCCGGGAUAGUGGCCGCGGCAGCAAAGUAUGAGGGGGUGGUGGUAUUCCCGCGUUCCGCCUCUCUCACGCCCCGGCGGCGGCAGAAGUUUGGGCUGUUGGGCUGAGGCGACGUCGCCUUGCAGCGUGCUCUGUGGACAGUGUCCCUGACCUCAGAGAAGCUCCAAGUAAUUACAGUGGUGAAAGAACAUUAACACAAAAAGACUUCUCUCCUCCUACGCUGAGACCUGAGCUUGCAGUUAUUCUCACGAUGAAUGUCAAGCAAGGUAAUACGUGGGAAACAAGGCAUCACUGACCCCUUGGCCUGCAAAACUGAAGAUGGCAGCUGACACCUUAGACGUUUACUGUUUUGCUGUCACUCUUUGCUGCAGUCAAAAUACAGCUUUUACAGUGAGAAGAGUAAAGAGCUCGAGUACAUUAGGAAAGAAGCAACAUGAGAACUUCUGUAAAGACUGUCUAGUUGAAGGCCUGGUAGACAGUUGGAAGCCAGAAUAAGAGCAGUUCCCCAGAGAGACACUGAGUGUGCAGGAAUGAAAACACAAGAUGCUGAUGUCUGUUACCAGUGUUCACAAACAUGGUUUGGAAUAUUCCUUCAAAGAAACGAGCAAACAAACGUACAAACCACUCAAAACCAACCAACCAAACCAAUACGAAAAAAGCAAAAAACCAAACCAACAACAACAAAAAAAACCCAAACAAAAAAAAACAACCAAUCAGAGAAAACCCAAACAAACAAAAAACCCAGAUGUGCUUGGGUUUUAACCAGCUCUUUCAGAAGCAAACACGCUCUUCGUGUAGUGACCUGGUUUAACACAACCCACUCUCACAAGCCCCUGUCCCCAACACAAAUAGAAGGCAAAUGAAUGCAAGAAAAGACUUCAGGGCCUUGGGGAGAUUACUUGAGGGUUUGAGAGCACAAAUGGUCAUCUCCUCAAUCCCUCCAGUGACAGCAAGUGAUACUGAAGGGAAAAGGAAAUUCCAUGCAAUUAAUACAUAGCUUAGAGAAUGGUGCCAUCAACAGAACUUUGGGAGGUUUGACCAUGGGGAAGUGUUCUUGGCACCAAAUCUACUGCGCCACUUAGCCAUACACAAGUGGGGCCGAAUGGGCUGCAUCCAGUGGUGCUGAAGGAGUUGGCAGAUGUGCUCACCAAGCCACUAUCCAUUAUUUACUAGACGUCCUGGCUAACUGGAGAGCUGCCAGCGGGCUGGUGGAUAGCAAAUGUAAUGCCUGUCUACAAGAAGGGCAAAAAGGAAACUGUAGACCUGUCAGUCUGACCUUGGUACCAGGGAAGGUCAUGGAGCAGGUCAUCUCAAAUGCCAUCAUAUGUGAUAAAGACAACAAGCAGGGGAUUGGGCUGAGUCAGCAUGGGUUUUUGAGAGGC